RNAcentral lists this ribosomal RNA (491 nucleotides) under uncultured bacterium. Its description in RNAcentral is "partial 16S ribosomal RNA". It matches the Rfam family "Bacterial small subunit ribosomal RNA", at positions 29 to 507 of the family's 1533-position model. The record is from RNAcentral.
GUGAACGCUGGCGGUAGGCCUAACACACGCAAGUCGAACGGCAGCACAGUAAGCGCUUGCUCUUACGGGUGGCGAGUGGCGGACGGGUGAGGAAUACAUCGGAAUCUACUUUUUCGUGGGGGAUAACGUAGGGAAACUUACGCUAAUACCGCAUACGACCUACGGGUGAAAGCAGGGGAUCUUCGGACCUUGCGCGAUUGAAUGAGCCGAUGUCGGAUUAGCUAGUUGGCGGGGUAAAGGCCCACCAAGGCGACGAUCCGUAGCUGGUCUGAGAGGAUGAUCAGCCACACUGGAACUGAGACACGGUCCAGACUCCUACGGGAGGCAGCAGUGGGGAAUAUUGGACAAUGGGCGCAAGCCUGAUCCAGCCAUACCGCGUGGGUGAAGAAGGCCUUCGGGUUGUAAAGCCCUUUUGUUGGGAAAGAAAAGCAGCAGGUUAAUACCCCGCUGUUCUGACGGUACCCAAAGAAUAAGCACCGGCUAACUUCGUG